Molecule: unclassified non-coding RNA, 146 nt
Filed under: soil metagenome
Description: partial internal transcribed spacer 1
Source: RNAcentral
CAGAGUUAUCAAACUCCCAACCCAUUGUGAACUUAUCUAUAGUUGCUUCGGCGCAAGUACGGGACCUCGCGCAGGGAGCGGACCGCCGGAGGAAAUCCAAACUCUUGUUAUUUAGUUGCAUCUCUGAGUAGUCUUAUAAUAAGUUA